RNAcentral lists this ribosomal RNA (389 nucleotides) under Enterococcus casseliflavus. Its description in RNAcentral is "bacterial SSU rRNA". It matches the Rfam family "Bacterial small subunit ribosomal RNA", at positions 96 to 473 of the family's 1533-position model. Lineage: Bacteria; Bacillati; Bacillota; Bacilli; Lactobacillales; Enterococcaceae. The record is from RNAcentral.
UGGCGAACGGGUGAGUAACACGUGGGUAACCUGCCCAUCAGAAGGGGAUAACACUUGGAAACAGGUGCUAAUACCGUAUAACACUAUUUUCCGCAUGGAAGAAAGUUGAAAGGCGCUUUUGCGUCACUGAUGGAUGGACCCGCGGUGCAUUAGCUAGUUGGUGAGGUAACGGCUCACCAAGGCAACGAUGCAUAGCCGACCUGAGAGGGUGAUCGGCCACACUGGGACUGAGACACGGCCCAGACUCCUACGGGAGGCAGCAGUAGGGAAUCUUCGGCAAUGGACGAAAGUCUGACCGAGCAACGCCGCGUGAGUGAAGAAGGUUUUCGGAUCGUAAAACUCUGUUGUUAGAGAAGAACAAGGAUGAGAGUAAAACGUCAUCCCUUGAC